This 474-nucleotide ribosomal RNA is filed under the name uncultured organism. RNAcentral's name for it is "partial 16S ribosomal RNA". It matches the Rfam family "Bacterial small subunit ribosomal RNA", at positions 332 to 797 of the family's 1533-position model. The record is from RNAcentral.
UACACUCCUACGGGAGGCAGCAGUGGGGAAUUUUGGACAAUGGGCGAAAGCCUGAUCCAGCAAUGCCGCGUGCAGGAUGAAGGCCUUCGGGUUGUAAACUGCUUUUGUACGGAACGAAAAAGCUCCUUCUAAUACAGGGGGCCCAUGACGGUACCGUAAGAAUAAGCACCGGCUAACUACGUGCCAGCAGCCGCGGUAAUACGUAGGGUGCGAGCGUUAAUCGGAAUUACUGGGCGUAAAGCGUGCGCAGGCGGUUAUGUAAGACAGAUGUGAAAUCCCCGGGCUCAACCUGGGAACUGCAUUUGUGACUGCAUGGCUAGAGUACGGUAGAGGGGGAUGGAAUUCCGCGUGUAGCAGUGAAAUGCGUAGAUAUGCGGAGGAACACCGAUGGCGAAGGCAAUCCCCUGGACCUGUACUGACGCUCAUGCACGAAAGCGUGGGGAGCAAACAGGAUUAGAUACCCUAGUAGUCCCA